RNAcentral lists this transfer RNA (104 nucleotides) under Xylaria grammica. It matches the Rfam family "tRNA". Rfam says of the family: Transfer RNA (tRNA) molecules are approximately 80 nucleotides in length. The record is from Rfam by way of RNAcentral. RNAcentral also lists the same sequence under 1 other name. Lineage: Eukaryota; Fungi; Ascomycota; Sordariomycetes; Xylariales; Xylariaceae.
GUCUUGAUGGCGCAGUUGGCUAGCGCGUUGGUCUCAUAUCAUAGAUAUGAUCUGGUUAAACACUAGAAAUCCAGAGGUCGUGAGUUCGAGCCUCACUCAGGACA